NCCCCGAUAGCUCAGUCGGUAGAGCGCCGGACUGUUAAUCCGUAGGUCCCUGGUUCGAGCCCAGGUCGGGGAGCCA
Molecule: transfer RNA, 76 nt
Filed under: Burkholderia cenocepacia
Lineage: Bacteria; Pseudomonadati; Pseudomonadota; Betaproteobacteria; Burkholderiales; Burkholderiaceae
Also listed under: 1 other name
Description: tRNA-Asn(gtt)
Rfam family: tRNA
About the family: Transfer RNA (tRNA) molecules are approximately 80 nucleotides in length.
Source: RNAcentral